This 947-nucleotide non-coding RNA is filed under the name Pseudanthias squamipinnis (sea goldie). RNAcentral's name for it is "12S ribosomal RNA". It matches the Rfam family "Bacterial small subunit ribosomal RNA". Lineage: Eukaryota; Metazoa; Chordata; Actinopteri; Perciformes; Anthiadidae. The record is from RNAcentral.
CAAAGGCUUGGUCCUGACUUUUCUAUCAGCUCUAGCUAAGUUUACACAUGCCAGCCUCCGCGCCCCCGUGAGGAUGCCCUGUCCGUCCCAAAUCGGAACUAAGGAGCGGGUAUCAGGCACAUCUCCAUAGCCCACGACACCUUGCUUAGCCACACCCCCAAGGGAUUCAGCAGUGAUAAACAUUAAGCCAUAAGUGAAAGCUUGACUUAACUAUUGCCAAGAGGGCCGGUAAACCUCGUGCCAGCCACCGCGGUUAUACGAGGAGCCCAAGUUGAUAGCCUCCGGCGUAAAGCGUGGUUAAGAUAAAAUUAAAGUAAAGCAGAACGCAAACCAAGCUGUUAUACGCAUUUGAAAGUAGAAGCCCAAUUACGAAAGUAGCUUUAUACAACUGACCCCACGAAAGCCAGGGCACAAACUGGGAUUAGAUACCCCACUAUGCCUGGCCCUAAAAAUUGAUAGUCCCUUACACCCACUAUCCGCCUGGGAACUACGAGCAAAACUUGAAACCCAAAGGACUUGGCGGUGCUUUAGACCCAACUAGAGGAGCCUGUCCUAGAACCGAUAUUCCCCGUUAAACCUUACCUUUUCUUGCAACUUCCGCCUAUAUACCGCCGUCGUAAGCUUACCCUGUGAAGGUGCCCAUAGUGAGCAAAGUUAGUAUCGCCCCACACGUCAGGUCGAGGUGUAGCACAUGUAAAGGAAUGAGAUUGGCUACAUUUACUAUUAGUAGUAAAUUACGAAUGAUGCCCUGAAACACCGCAUCUGAAGGUGGAUUUAGUAGUAAGUAAAAAACAGUGUGUUUUACUGAAACUUGGCUAUGAAGCGUGCACACACCGCCCGUCACUCUCCCCAUAAAAACUUUUUGACUUAAACUAUACAACCUAAAACGCUAAGGGGAGACAAGUCGUAACAUGGUAAGUGUACCGGAAGGUGCACUUGGAUCAUUG